AGUGAACGCUGGCGGUAGGCCUAACACAUGCAAGUCGAACGGCAGCACAGUAAGAGCUUGCUCUUACGGGUGGCGAGUGGCGGACGGGUGAGGAAUACAUCGGAAUCUCCUUUUUCGUGGGGGAUAACGUAGGGAAACUUACGCUAAUACCGCAUACGACCUACGGGUGAAAGCAGGGGAUCUUCGUACCUUUCGCGAUUGAAUGAGCCGAUGUCGGAUUAGCUAGUUGGCGGGGUAAAGGCCCACCAAGGCGACGAUCCGUAGCUGGUCUGAGAGGAUGAUCAGCCACACUGGAACUGAGACACGGUCCAGACUCCUACGGGAGGCAGCAGUGGGGAAUAUUGGACAAUGGGCGCAAGCCUGAUCCAGCCAUACCGCGUGGGUGAAGAAGGCCUUCGGGUUGUAAAGCCCUUUUGUUGGGAAAGAAAAGCAGCAGGUUAAUACCCCGCUGUUCUGACGGUACCCAAAGAAUAAGCACCGGCUAACUUCGUG
RNAcentral lists this ribosomal RNA (492 nucleotides) under uncultured bacterium. Its description in RNAcentral is "partial 16S ribosomal RNA". It matches the Rfam family "Bacterial small subunit ribosomal RNA", at positions 29 to 507 of the family's 1533-position model. The record is from RNAcentral.